UUUCGUUGCUGUGAAAUCGGAAAAGGUAAAUACUUGUUCCAUGUUUACCACUUCCAUUUUUGUAGAGGUGGAACAUACCUGCAAGCAGCAAGAUUGAUGCAAAAGCGCACGUAGGCACGCUGACGCUGGGUUACCGGUAAUUAGAUGAUUCAUGGAUGUAUCGGCACAUGGCGUUUAAAGCUAGACGAUGCUUUUAGAGUUACUUAAAGGGUGAAAUUUUAGAAAAUUUCAGAAAAGAAUCAAUAAUGAUCUAGAUCUGUCGCCAUUAUUUCGCUAAAUUCCUGUAUUUCUUAAUGACAGCUGCUGUCUAAUGUGGCGUUGCAAAAUCCCAGCCGGCAACAGAGUUACCAUGGAUGUACUUCUUUUGGUUGCCAUGGGCAACCAUCCUCCGUCUGUCCAGCAGCCAUUGUGUCUAGACAUGUUCAUAAUUGUCACAGCCGUACACCACAUCGGACCUAGUUUUCCACCUGUUGUGAAUUAUCCUGCUCCAAAAGAAAUCCUCCGAAAAAUGACCUCCUCAUCGUAUCGUAGCUCGGAUCGCCGUACCAGCCGCCGGUAUGACGAUGAUGGCGACCGGCACCAUCGGCACCGGUCGAGAAGUGUGGACCGGUGCCACCGGAGCCGGCGCAGCCGUUCCAAUUCGCGGGAUCGCUACCGGCGCAAUCGUUCCGCUUCCCGGUCGCCGCGUGGACGGUCGCGCCAUCGGAAGAGCUCCACUGCGCCGAACGCCUCGCGCAGCCGGAUCCGGGUCGAUUCGCCGGAGCCGAGCCGUUGCUUGGGCGUGUUCGGGCUGAGCGUGUACACGACGGAGCCGUACCUGAACGAUAUCUUCUGCCACUUUGGCACGGUGGAAAAGUCGAUAGUGAUCUACGACGCGAAGACGCGGCUGUCGCGCGGGUUCGGUUUUGUGUACUUCAAGUCGCAGGCCGAGGCAUCGAUCGCGCGUGCGAACUGCAACGGGCUGCAGAUCCAUGGCCGGCGCAUUCGCGUCGACUACUCCAUCACGGAUCAGCCCCAUCCGCCCACGCCGGGCGUGUACAUGGGCCGAAGGCAGUACAGCCACUCUCCGUCCCCGCGGAACCGAUCACACCACGAGGAGCAUCGACGCCGCCGCCGAUCUCGCUCGUAUUCCCGUUCGUCCUAUGAGAGCCAUUGAGGCCCGACGGUAGCAGGAGCAUGUGCCGGACAAUAAUGUAAGUCGAAAAAGUAGAAGUCUUGAACCCAGAAAUGUCGAACUGUUCAGUAGUGUACACAGGGAAAAAGUCAAAGAAAUAAUGAAAAUGUUGUUGAUCUUUGCCGUGCUUGUGCAAAUUAAUUUAAAUGCUAAGGGAAAAGUCAAGAGAAAAGACACAUGUUUGUCUUUCCUUACAAGCAUGUGAAAAAGACUGCGUUUCAUUUGCAUCAAUGUUUUCCGGAAGUAGGGGCAUCGUGGGCAGUGUGGAUGCACCGAAAAGGUUUCAUUAUUGAACUUCAUUCAACAUCUCUCUGUACUCAUCGAUCGAUCUCUGUACUAUCUCGUUGAUAAUAUCAUUCUUAAUGUUAUAAAUAUAAUUUAUUGCAAACAAUAGAAAAAAAUCCUGUAAAUAUACUCCAAGGAUUAGCUUCAAAGGGGAGAAAA
Anopheles gambiae (African malaria mosquito) is the source of this 1618-nucleotide RNA transcript. It is a transcript of the gene named transformer-2 protein homolog beta-like, with no coding region annotated. The transcript is spliced from 4 exons. The record is from RefSeq and is a predicted model, not a curated record. Lineage: Eukaryota; Metazoa; Arthropoda; Insecta; Diptera; Culicidae.